Molecule: ribosomal RNA, 346 nt
Filed under: uncultured fungus
Lineage: Eukaryota; Fungi
Description: SSU rRNA
Rfam family: Eukaryotic small subunit ribosomal RNA
Source: RNAcentral
GUAGUCAUAUGCUUGUCUCAAAGAUUAAGCCAUGCAUGUCUAAGUAUAAGCAAUAUAUACAGUGAAACUGCGAAUGGCUCAUUAAAUCAGUUAUCGUUUAUUUGAUAGUACCUUACUACUUGGAUAACCGUGGUAAUUCUAGAGCUAAUACAUGCUAAAAAUCCCGACCUCUGGAAGGGAUGUAUUUAUUAGAUAAAAAACCAAUGUCUUCGGACUCCUUGGUGAUUCAUGAUAACUUUACGAAUCGCAUGGCCUUGCGCCGGCGAUGGUUCAUUCAAAUUUCUGCCCUAUCAACUUUCGAUGGUAGGAUAGUGGCCUACCAUGGUUUCAACGGGUAACGGGGAAU